GUUCUAACGAAUGAAAUUGACUACGUUAGAUUAGUAGCUAAAAUCCUUAUAUCAAAAGAAAAGAUCAAAAUGACAGAAAGGAUAAUAUUAUAUACUUAAUACGUACGUCUAGAUACUGACAUAGCAAAUGAUUCAUCACAUUUCUUUCUUAUUUCUUUAUAUCACAUCUGACUAUUAUCUUAUCUAAUAAGUAUAUUAGUAUGAGUAUAAGAUAAGGUUCUCCCUAUUUCUAUUCUAUAUUGAUUAGAAUGAUAUACUAUAAAAAAUUGAAGAGUUAUUGUGAAUCAAUUCUCAUUGAAGUUGAAAAAAUAAUUGAAUUCCAGAGUUUGAUAGAUCUUUUGAAGAUUAAUCGGACGAGAAUAAAGAGAGAGUCCCAUUUUACAUGUAAAUACCAACAACAAUGAAAUUUAGAGUAAGAGGAAAAUCCGUCGAAUUUUAAAAUCGUGAGGGUUCAAGUCCCUCUAUCCCCAAGAAAAAGCCCAUUUGACUUCCUCACUCUGUUCUUUCACAAAUGGAUCCGAAUAUCCAUUUUCGGAUAUUCUUCCAAUUGCAAUCCAAUUUCAUUUGUAUAGAUACGAUACCUGCACAAAUGAGCAUAUAUGUUCAAGAAAUUUCCGUUAUUUAAUAAUUCACAGUCCAUAUCAUUAUCCUUACAUUUACAAAAAUCUUUUUUAGUUCUUUUCAUUGAUAUAGAUAAUAGAUACAAGUACUCUGCUAGGAUGAUGCACGGAAAAUG
Molecule: unclassified non-coding RNA, 736 nt
Filed under: Pterygodium cleistogamum
Lineage: Eukaryota; Viridiplantae; Streptophyta; Magnoliopsida; Asparagales; Orchidaceae
Description: partial contains tRNA-Leu (trnL), trnL-trnF intergenic spacer, and tRNA-Phe (trnF)
Source: RNAcentral